RNAcentral lists this ribosomal RNA (478 nucleotides) under uncultured bacterium. Its description in RNAcentral is "partial 16S ribosomal RNA". It matches the Rfam family "Bacterial small subunit ribosomal RNA", at positions 28 to 507 of the family's 1533-position model. The record is from RNAcentral.
GAUGAACGCUGGCGGCGUGCUUAACACAUGCAAGUCGAACGGGAAAUAUUUCAUUGAGACUUCGGUGGAUUUGAUUUAUUUCUAGUGGCGGACGGGUGAGUAACGCGUGGGUAACCUGCCUUAUACAGGGGGAUAACAGUCAGAAAUGGCUGCUAAUACCGCAUAAGCGCACAGAGCUGCAUGGCUCAGUGUGAAAAACUCCGGUGGUAUAAGAUGGACCCGCGUUUGAUUAGCUAGUUGGUGGGGUAACGGCCCACCAAGGCGACGAUCCAUAGCCGGCCUGAGAGGGUGAACGGCCACAUUGGGACUGAGACACGGCCCAGACUCCUACGGGAGGCAGCAGUGGGGAAUAUUGCACAAUGGGGGAAACCCUGAUGAAGCGACGCCGCGUGAAGGAAGAAGUAUCUCGGUAUGUAAACUUCUAUCAGCAGGGAAGAUAGUGACGGUACCUGACGAAGAAGCCCCGGCUAACUACGUG